This is a long non-coding RNA of Capsicum annuum, 3683 nucleotides long. RefSeq lists it as uncharacterized. Lineage: Eukaryota; Viridiplantae; Streptophyta; Magnoliopsida; Solanales; Solanaceae. The transcript is spliced from 3 exons. The record is from RefSeq and is a predicted model, not a curated record.
UCAAGGGUAAUGUUGUAAUUUCACAUAAAUAAUAUCUCUGCCAAAUACACUCUCAGUCGCAUCACUUUUCUCAUUCAAAAAAUUUCUCAAUUCUCUCCAUCCUUGAAAGCAGAGUUGAAAUUGUUCUCUCUGUAGCUAACCACCUCGAAUGUUCUGCCAACGCUACAACUCAUUUCAAAAUCAAAGAUGACUACUGCAAUAGCCAUUGAGGACGUGAGAAGGGAGGUGAAGAUAUUAAGAGGUUUGACAGGACAUAACCAUUUAGUAAAAUUUUAUGAUUCAUAUGAAAACCACAACAAUGUCUACAUAGUCAUGGAGUAAGCUUCGUCACUCUAACUCCCAUCACAUUUACAUUUGCAAUGGGGUUCAAUCUCAAACUUAGAUUAAGAGGAGGAUACUUUGUAUAACCAAAGUUUCAAGUAGCAUGGCAGUUUGUGUAUUUAUUCGUGCUUGUUGCUAUUAUCCUCUUUUUCAUCUAUUUUUGAGCCGAGGGUCUAUUGAAAACAGUUUAUCUACCUUCUCGAUGUAAGGGUAAGAUCUGCAUACACACUACCCUCCACAGACCCUAUUUGCUAGAUUAUAGUGGUUUUUUUGUUGUUGUUAUAACUGAAGUGAUACAAGAUUUCUUGACCUGUGUAAAAACCAACCGCUGGAAUAUGCCAUAACUGAAUAGAUUUAAGACUUCAACUGCAUAUGACAGUGAUCGGAAAGAGAAAGAAACACACAGCUUAAAUCAAAGAAUAAAGAAGAGAAAAUCAUGUAUAAUUGCCAACAACUGCAUAAUUGACGAGUAAAUGCUGAAGUCUUUGGAUGGAUCUAAUAUUUAACGCCGAGACUUUUCCAAUCCCCAGUAAUCUUAGUAUAAUUCUUUUGUCAUACAUUUAUAUACCAGGAUUUACUCUUUGUACUAGCUUUUCAAUGAUUCAACUAUCCUUGGCAUCUGAAUCUUGUCCAUGAAUUAUGUAGGGUAAGUUCAAUUAUCAUAUUGCUUUAUUGUAUAGCAACAUCACUUUUAUUUUGAGCUUGUUUUUUUUCUUCUUCAAAUUUUUCGUUUAUACUUCAUCCACAACAACAACAUACCCAAUGUAAUCCCACAGAGUGAUGUCUGCGGAGGGUAGAGUAUACGCAGUCCAUGCCACUACUUCAGAAGUAGUAGAGAGGCUGUUUCCGAUAGACCCCUGGCUCAGAACAAAAAUUAUAUAAAAAGACGUAAUAAGUACAAAAAAUAAGAUGGUAUGAAAAAACAUAAAGAGAGUAGUACUAUAAACUAUCUACAUCACCAAACAAGAAACUACAAGACACCUGCAAAGUACUAUGACUACUGGCCUGGCCACAAACAAAGCUUCCCUUCAUCCACAUGUUUUAAUAAUUAAUAUUUAUAUUUUUUUGAAAAUUGUAUUGAUUUGUUCGGAAGUACAUGAGUCCAAAUUGUGACCAGAAGGAGAAUGAAAAAGAUAGUUGGAAUAAAAAAGAAAGAGAAAUCUUAGUUUCCAAUUGAUGUAGAGACUUUUGCAAUCUCAAGUCUUUGCACUACAAUUCUUAGUUGUCUGCUUUUUUGGAAAAUCCAGUUACAUGUUUUCAUUUUUCUGCUAUUGAUGUUUCUUUGUACAAAGAGUUCAUCAUGGACUUAGUUUCUUGUUUUUUUUUCUUCAUUUUCUUUCAUUUGUGGUGCUUUGAUUCAGCAAAAGGACAGACCACAUCCCACUCAAACUGCACCGAGGAAUUCGACUGUCAAAUAUUAGGAAGUUACAGUUUUCCUUUCUAUAAAUCGAGUGAACCUGAUUGUAUCCUACUCCAAUUCCAGCAUCAUCAUCUGGUGCCCCUGCUCAGACUGUUUCUUCCGGUGAACAAACUUAUACAUCAUCUGGCGAGGCACAACAAAGCUAUCCUCCUGGAGUGCAAUCUCAGAAUAGUGCACCUUCUCCUUCGGUUCCUACUUAUGUGUAUGGAAAUUUUGUCACAUCUAAUGCUCUCCAUCAUCUGCGGAGAAUCUUGCUUAUGGUGCGGAUGCAGAAUAUGAGAAUUUCAUGUCAGAAAUGAAGUCAUGAUGCUAUUGCUGUAUCACCCUGCACUAUUAGGUUGUCUUCAUGCACUCAAUAAUGACAUGGCGGUCUGGGAUAAUUAAUAAAUAGUUCAGGAAAUGGAGGAUCCAACCUCAACCAUUUCCCUUCGGAUGUUGUAUUCUACGUGCUGGGUAGGCUUAUUGAAGCUCACAGACUAAUCUUGACUGCAUGGUCUCCUUUCGAAUAAAAAUUUCAGACUGACUGGAAGAAUAGAAUGGAAGUACGAUUCUCUAGAAAAAAGUUGGCUUAUCAUGCACUUUAUAGCCUCAUCCAUUUCUUUUAUUCCAGUAAACUUGAUACAGCAGUAGAUGACAUGGAAGAUCUUGUCAGAUCAACUUUAGACUUUUCAUUACGUGUCCUGUUUUGUGUGUCAAUAAAUGGAUCUCUGUUUUAAGUUAUCUGCUUGUAUAUCGACUUGAUAAGCCAUGUUUGUUAGCAUAACUUUUUAGAUAGCGAUAAUCUUUUUCUUCAGGGAACUGGGACAGGUCAUCCCGAGUUUACGGGGAAGCUACUUCAGAUUCUUGUGGACUCGGUAAUUAACCGAUGCAUGAAGACAAAAGUAGGAACAAUGGUAAGAAAGUUGAGAUAUCACCCUUUCUAACUCUUGCAGGUGAAUUAGGGAAUUCAAAGGAAGAACAAAUUGCCCAGGUAUGCUCUAUGUCAAAGUUGUAAAAUUGUUAUUUAAAUUUAUUGACAAUGAGACUUUAAAGGAGUUGCAACAAUUCAGAAUCCUAUAUCAUAGUGGCAUAGUAAAAUGGCAGGCUUGCAGGUGCGGAACUAACAAAUCUAUUAGAAGCUAAAAAUGACUUAGCGUCAAAGGUAAUUCGAUUGAACAAUGCGAGAACCGAAGGGUUUGAGCAUAGAGUAGGUUCAAAGACUACUCUUUCAUUUGGCAAUAGUAAUAUUUAGCAUCUUUGUGCAAGGAGGAAAGGUUGUUUUUGUCAUCCAUCUUGAGUGAAUGUGGUUUUAGUAAUGUAUAUAUGUCAGCCUGUGCAUUUCUUGGAUUACAUGGUGUAUAAUUCUUCACAUCAAGCACCGUUAAUUGUCACUGUUCCGCGCUCUGACAUGUUGUGUGCUAAGAUUGUUAAGUAUUAUUCAUUGAAACGAUUCGUGGAGGAAACUGGGAAGCCUCUUCAAGAAUGGGCCCCUGCUUAUGAUGGAGCUAAUUUUUGUUGCUCUUCUGGUUUUCAGGCUGUGAUGCUUGCUUUAGGCGUUUGCGAGAAAGCAUUUUUCGGUUCGAAAAAUCUGCUUCAGCUAUACGAAUCAGAGGGCUGAGCUGAAGUUACAUGACUAUGAUGCAGAGCAUGAUUUCUAGUUUUCUACCGUGAUUUGGUUGAGAGUCAGAGACAGCAGGUAAUACCAUUCAUCUCGGACAAGUUCAAGUUUCCGUCUAUUUCUAUAUACCAGUGACUUUUCCACUCAUCUAAAGUGAGAAAUUGAUAGAUUGUAUGCUAAGUGCAUCUAUUUCUGUAUCUUGUGUCAGUAUUCUUCCAUGGAUGAUACAAGGAGGAAAUGUUGUCAAAAUUGUAAUUAUAGGUUAUGCAGGUUGCUUGGGGUACAGGUCAAUUGUAUAAUUAAAUCACAAACAAUGAAUGAAAUCUUUGGUGUAUUUCUUCGUCA